This 792-nucleotide ribosomal RNA is filed under the name uncultured bacterium. RNAcentral's name for it is "bacterial SSU rRNA". It matches the Rfam family "Bacterial small subunit ribosomal RNA", at positions 8 to 796 of the family's 1533-position model. The record is from RNAcentral.
AGAGUUUGAUCAUGGCUCAGGAGAANNNUAGCGGCAGGCUUAAUACAUGCAAGUCGAACGGUAAGGUUUCUUCGGAGACACACGAGUGGCGCACGGGUGCGUAACGCGUAUGCAACCUACCUUUGACCGGGGAAUAGCUCCGAGAAAUCGGGAUUAAUACCCCAUAACAUCCUUUUUUCGCAUGGAAGAAGGAUCAAAGCUCCGGCGGUUAAAGAUGGGCAUGCGUGGCAUUAGUUAGUUGGCGAGGUAACGGCUCACCAAGACGACGAUGCCUAGGGGUCCUGAGAGGGUUAACCCCCACACUGGUACUGAGACACGGACCAGACUCCCACGGGAGGCAGCAGUAAGGAAUAUUGGGCAAUGGACGCAAAGUCUGACCCAGCCAUGCCGCGUGCAGGGAUGACUGCCCUAUGGGUUGUAAACUGCUUUUGUACGGGAAAAAACUUCCCGGUCGUGCACCGGGACUGAUGGUACUGUACGAAUAAGCAUCGGCUAACUCCGUGCCAGCAGCCGCGGUAAUACGGAGGAUGCAAGCGUUAUCCGGAUUUAUUGGGUUUAAAGGGUGCGCAGGCGGAAUUGUAAGUCAGUGGUGAAAUCUUCCGGCUCAACCGGGAAACUGCCAUUGAUACUGCUGUUCUUGAGUAUAGUUGAAGUGGGCGGAAUGUGUCAUGUAGCGGUGAAAUGCUUAGAUAUGACACAGAACACCGAUAGCGAAGGCAGCUCACUAAGCUGUAACUGACGCUCAUGCACGAAAGCGUGGGGAUCAAACAGGAUUAGAUACCCUAGUAGUCC